UCCCAAAAUAAAUGCACUUCUAGCAUUUAAAAUUUGUCCUCACAACAAAAGCACUAUUAGAGUAUAUAUGGAUCACCUAGGGGGCUGUUUAGUUCCUGGAAAUUUUACAAAAUGCUAAUAUAGUACUUUCGUUUGUAUUUAACCAUUAUUGUCCAAUCAUUACUAAAUAGGCUCAAAAGAUUCGUCUCAUAAAAUACAUGCGAACUAUAUUAUUAGUUAUUUUUUAUCUAUAUUUAAUGCUCCAUGCAUGUGCCGCAAAAUUCGAUGUGACGAGAAAUCUUAAACAUUUUGCAAA
RNAcentral lists this long non-coding RNA (295 nucleotides) under Sorghum bicolor (sorghum). RNAcentral's name for it is "long non-coding RNA (SBIC_LNC015206)". Lineage: Eukaryota; Viridiplantae; Streptophyta; Magnoliopsida; Poales; Poaceae. The record is from RNAcentral.